AUUAGGAAUCUUGCGCAAUGGGGGCAACCCUGACGCAGCGACGCCGCGUGGAGGAGGAAGUCCUUCGGGAUGUAAACUCCUUUUCUCGCAGAAGAAACAAAUGACGGUAUGCGAGGAAGAAGCCCCGGCUAACUACGUGCCAGCAGCCGCGGUAAUACGUAGGGGGCGAGCGUUGUCCGAAGUUACUGGGCGUAAAGGGCGCGUAGGCGGAGGCCUAAGUCCGCUGUGAAAGCCCGGAGCUUAACUCCGGUUGGUCGGUGGAGACUGGGUCUCUUGAAGGGGCUAGAGGGAGAUGGAAUUACCGGUGUAGCGGUGAAAUGCGUAGAGAUCGGUAGGAACACCCGUGGCGAAGGCGGUCUCCUGGGGCCUUCUUGACGCUGAGGCGCGAAAGCUGGGGGAGCGAACGG
RNAcentral lists this ribosomal RNA (407 nucleotides) under uncultured bacterium. RNAcentral's name for it is "bacterial SSU rRNA". It matches the Rfam family "Bacterial small subunit ribosomal RNA", at positions 354 to 775 of the family's 1533-position model. The record is from RNAcentral.